CGUGGAAAAAUAUGACUAAGUAUGAAGAAUAAAUAAAUGCAAUAUAGAUCUUUGAAACUCGAGAGCUAUUUCAUCCUGAGGAAAACCAGUUAAAAAAUUUUUUUAACGACCCCAAAUCCAUUUAUGGAAAAACUACAAGUAGGUAAUAUUUAAAAAUGAUUAUUAAAAUUUAUGAUACUUCAAGGGACGACGGUGGAUUGUAUAGGCUAACUGCAAUUAAUGACAGUAUUUGUUUACAUUAAAUGUAAAACUCAGUUUCUUAGUUGCACUAGUUAUUUAUAGCGUUCAAAUGCCACAUGUGGCCAAGGGCUGUUGCUACAAAAUAUGUUGAGUGGGCUUAAAAAUACUCUUUUGCUCCAUUACCUCACAAUCUUUCAUUUUAGUGCCAUUCCAUCGCUAGAAGGUGCUUUUCAUGUGUAGAGUAAAUCAAAUAAUGCCAUGUGAUUUUUAAUAUUCACUACAGAUUUAAUAUUAAAAAGAAGCUAUGUUUUCAGAACAUCUCGUUUCCGAAUGCAUAUUAUACUAUCGCAGCUCUUACAGGUAGGUAUUCUUCAAAUUAGCAGCUGAAAGGAAAAGCUCACAGCGAGGUAAGGAGGCGGGGCUCACUGUAACGCUGCCAAGGAGAUAGAACCCUAGCACGCAGGUCCGGGAAGUAUGGGAAAAUCCUCCAUUGCGGCGCCGUGCUGUCAAUCAUCGGCAAGGGGGCCGACCCCGCCUCCUCUGGCUGAGGGCGGCGGCCGUUCUCACCCAGGCCCUCCGCCACAGCUUCUCCCAGAACCCAAGCCCUCUCCCGCUGGGGCCCUCGCCCUCCUCGCACCCCGCUAGCUCAGGCGCCGCGGCCUCCAGUGCGUCCAGCAACAGGAACGUGUCCUCCGCGGGCUCGUACACAUCUCUGUACUCGCCACGACCCACGUGCCCAUGCAUCGGCGUAGGAAAACUGGGGGUCGCCAUCUUCCUUUUCGCUUGUUUUUCAGUUGCACAUUGGCGUGUGUGGGCGAUACAUCUACAGUGAUGAGCUUCGUAUCCGAGGGAGGUGAACGCCCGAUUCAAACAUGUAUUUCUUCAUACAUUUCUCUGUCAUCUUUGGAGUUUCUGGUCUAGUGAGAGGCGCAGACAAUCAAAUGCAGGUAAGAAGUAAAACCACAGAAGGCUAGGAGAGCUUCAGACAGAGCUAUCCUGGUCUGAGAGCCAGGGAAGAUUCUCUAAGACACGGGAUGAGAAAUAAAGGGGCC
Molecule: long non-coding RNA, 1232 nt
Filed under: Fukomys damarensis (Damara mole-rat)
Lineage: Eukaryota; Metazoa; Chordata; Mammalia; Rodentia; Bathyergidae
Description: lncRNA (ENSFDAG00000027882.1)
Source: RNAcentral